RNA transcript from Nannospalax galili (Upper Galilee mountains blind mole rat), 405 nucleotides. It is a transcript of the gene named V-type proton ATPase subunit G 1 pseudogene, with no coding region annotated. NCBI's taxonomy places the organism in Eukaryota, Metazoa, Chordata, Mammalia, Rodentia, Spalacidae. The transcript has a single exon. The record is from RefSeq and is a predicted model, not a curated record.
AUGGUGAGUCAGUCGCAGGGGAUCCAGCAGCUGCUGCAGGGCGAGAAACGCAGGGCUGAAAAAGGUGUCCGAGGCCCACAAGGGAAAGAACCGGAGGCUGAAGCAGACCAAAGAAGCAGCCCAGGCUGAGAUUGAACGGUACCGCCGGCAGAGGGAGAAAGAGUUCAAGGCCAAGGAAGCUGCGGCACUGAGGUCCCACGGAGCUGUAGCAGUGAAGUGGAGAAGGCGGCCCAGAAGAUGACCAUCCUCCAGACCUACUUCCAGCAGAACGGGGAUGAAGUCCUCGAUAACCUCUUGGCCUUUGUGUGUGACAUCCAGCCAGAAAUCCAUGAAAACUACCGCAUAAAUGGACAGAAGGCUGAUGGCCCUGCUCUGAGCUUGGCAUUGGAGUCCCUCAAGGAAUAG